AUACAAUUUUUGCUAAAAAACUAGAAAAUUUUGAAAAAUGAUCAAAAUCUCGAAAAACAUAUUUUAACAGAGUUAGCAUAGUCAUAUAGCCUUUUGUAGGGUGAAUAUAAAUGAACUACCACAUCUUAUCAUUUGGGGCUUAAUUUUCUUUAUUUUGUCCAUAUGUAAUAUAAUAUAACUUCGUUAUCAAAUUGGUUGUUAGCAUUCAGUUUUUCAUUAAACGUCGUGAGUUAUUGGAAACCUAUCGAAUUUCUUAACUUUUAAUAUGGGUGGUUGUUGCAGUACGAGGAAAUCCGUUGACUUACCAUCUGUACCACCCGCUAAUGAUAAACUUAAUUCGCGGGAUUACCCAACUACCGGGGUAACCACAAUUGGAAACUCCGGCACGAAUAUCGGCAGCACAAAUUUGGCGUUGGAGGAGGAUUAAAGGAACAAGUUGCAUUCGUGAUGAUAUGCGUGAAAGAUAUUGUUUAAAGUUAGGUCUUAAUAUAAGUAUGUAGAUUAGUGUGCUCUCCCAAAUUUCAUAUGGGUAUAUAUAUUGUAUCUAAUACUAUAUAGUAUUCGUACAUACAUAUGAUUACAUAUCGCAUAUCAUAAUAUGGUUGACUCACAAUUAGUAAGAUAUAUGUACAUAUACUUACCAUAUAACUAGGUUAAACACGUGUAGAGAUAGUGGCAUUUACAAACCUAAAAAACCUUCUAUUAAACGCAAAAA
Non-coding RNA from Bactrocera oleae (olive fruit fly), 715 nucleotides. The record is from RefSeq and is a predicted model, not a curated record. NCBI's taxonomy places the organism in Eukaryota, Metazoa, Arthropoda, Insecta, Diptera, Tephritidae.